CAGUCGCCACGGUAAUACAUAGGUGGCAAGCGUUGUCCGGAAUUAUUGGGCGUAAAGGGCUCGCAGGCGGUUUCUUAAGUCUGAUGUGAAAGCCCCCGGCUCAACCGGGGAGGGUCAUUGGAAACUGGGAAACUUGAGUGCAGAAGAGGAGAGUGGAAUUCCACGUGUAGCGGUGAAAUGCGUAGAGAUGUGGAGGAACACCAGUGGCGAAGGCGACUCUCUGGUCUGUAACUGACGCUGAGGAGCGAAAGCGUGGGGAGCGAACAGGAUUAGAUACCCCGGUAGUCCCUGUCUCUUAUAA
This 301-nucleotide ribosomal RNA is filed under the name uncultured bacterium. Its description in RNAcentral is "partial 16S ribosomal RNA". It matches the Rfam family "Bacterial small subunit ribosomal RNA", at positions 509 to 809 of the family's 1533-position model. The record is from RNAcentral.